Molecule: unclassified non-coding RNA, 345 nt
Filed under: soil metagenome
Description: partial contains 5.8S ribosomal RNA, internal transcribed spacer 2, and large subunit ribosomal RNA
Rfam family: 5.8S ribosomal RNA (bases 1-120)
Source: RNAcentral
GAUGAAGAACGCAGCGAAAUGCGAUAAGUAAUGUGAAUUGCAGAAUUCCGUGAAUCAUCGAAUCUUUGAACGCAUAUUGCGCCCUCUGGCAUUCCGGGGGGCAUGCCUGUCCGAGCGUCAUUGCUGCCCUCAAGCACGGCUUGUGUGUUGGGCCUCCGUCCUCCUCCCGGGGGACGGGCCCGAAAGGCAGCGGCGGCACCGCGUCCGGUCCUCGAGCGUAUGGGGCUUCGUCACCCGCUCUUGUAGGCCCGGCCGGCGCUUGCCGACACAUCAAUCUUUUUUCCAGGUUGACCUCGGAUCAGGUAGGUAUACCCGCUGAACUUAAGCAUAUCAAUAAGCGGAGGA